This 855-nucleotide long non-coding RNA is filed under the name Cricetulus griseus (Chinese hamster). RNAcentral's name for it is "lncRNA (ENSCGRG00015030328.1)". The record is from RNAcentral. Lineage: Eukaryota; Metazoa; Chordata; Mammalia; Rodentia; Cricetidae.
GAGCAGUGUUCUAUCUUUCAGCGCUGUUUCCGAUGCUGGUAGCGUGAGACCUGAAUCCAACGGAAUGUGAAGAACUGAUGACUAAGUUUUCCAAAGCCCUUCUUUUUUUAAAAAUUUUUUUUGCAAGUGUAGGAAUGAGGAAAUGAAGGAAGGUUACUGUUGUAAGGUAGGGCGUAAGAAGCACCCAGUUUUCCUCAAUAUGGAAUUCACAUUUCGUACACUCUGGCCAAAAGCAUCUUAGGAGAAGAAAGAGUUUAUGGGUCACAGUCCAUCACUGAAGUAAACCAGGAUAGGACAAGAAAUUAAAGCAGAAACCUUGGAGGAACACUGUUUUCUGGCUCAUUCACAGGCUUUUGCUUGGCUAGCUUUUCUAUACAGCUCAAGCCCACCUGCCCAGGAAAUGGUACCACACAAAGUGGGCUGGACCAGCAUGCCAAUUAAGGCAGUCAAGAUAAUACCCACAGGCCAAUCUGGUCAAGCAAUAGAAACCCCAAGACAGGAAUUGUUCCAGAGAUCCAUAAAUGAGCAAUGUGCAGAGAGUGGGAGAUUUUGGAGCACUCAGCCCUAAAUGAAAUAUCAUCCUCAAACUCAAAGAACUGUGCAGAAGAGGAGGCAGAAGGGUUUAAAAGCCUUAACUUUUGGUGCUUAACUCCAAGGAAACAGUAUCAUCCAGAUAUAUAUGAACUCAGACACCAUGAUAGCACACUGCAAGACCUGUAGCUGUUCAAACUAGGUAUAAUCCCAGUAUGGAGAAGAGAAGGCAGGCACAAAGUCCCACCCCUAGCCAAGAAGAUAUUUGUAACAGAUACCUGCUGGGAAAGGGAAAAGCCGUUUUCUCCAAUGAAGAGUCAGUAG